This 330-nucleotide ribosomal RNA is filed under the name Triticum aestivum (bread wheat). Its description in RNAcentral is "partial small subunit ribosomal RNA". The record is from RNAcentral. Lineage: Eukaryota; Viridiplantae; Streptophyta; Magnoliopsida; Poales; Poaceae.
AUGGGCUUGUACCGUGCCCACGGGACCCCCGUGCGCACGGGCCCAACUUUCCCCGUGCGCACGGGCCCAUCAGGAUGGACAGCUGUGAGCUGCUGUUGGGCCUCCACCUCGUCCCCUCCUUCCACCUACCUAUAUAUUCAGUACCUAGACCAUAUGUUAGGGAUAGCAAAGUAUUGGAUAGAGAAAGAGAGAGCUUUGCUCAUCAUCCUCCUCUUGGAGAUCAAGGCCUCCUCUUGGAGAAGAUCCUCUUGUGGAUAUCAAGGCCUCCUCUUGGAGAAGGAUCCCCAUCAUAGGAUCAUCAAGACCUCUUUCCUCAUAGGAUUGGGAUGA